GAGAAGUCCCCUUCCAGGACUCCUGAAGGAAGUAAUAGGAGUAGGUUGCAGGAAAGGUCAAUUAAAGGAAGUAGAUUACAUCCAACUGGUGCUCAGAGAUUUUUCUCCCUGUGGUGUUUUGGGAGUUACAAUAAAAUCUUGUUACCUACCUUCUGGCUCAUUUUUCUUUCACAGCCUUGCUUUCCUGGGAGUGUUCUUUGCCAGAGAGAAUUACAAAGAAGAGGAAAGACUAAACCCUGGCCUCUUGUCAUUAGAGCCCCAGGUCGGCCUUCUCAAGCCUCAGCCCUUCCCAGGAUGGGGAAGACAAGACCAAGUUUCAGGUGGGUGGAGUUUUUCUCCAGAAGUAACAGUUUAAGACAUCAGAGAGUCAACGUACCUCCCUCCCUUGGAAAAAGAAAAAAAAUUGAUUGGGCAAGCUCCUCACAUAACUCUGUGCAUUUAUCUCCCAGUAGCGACGAGAGAGGUCGGAUGAUCCUGUCUGAGAGAUGAAGAAAUGCAUGUAAAUCCUAGGUUUGAACCCAG
This 522-nucleotide long non-coding RNA is filed under the name Sus scrofa (pig). RNAcentral describes it as "lncRNA (ENSSSCG00070028427.1)". Lineage: Eukaryota; Metazoa; Chordata; Mammalia; Artiodactyla; Suidae. The record is from RNAcentral.